UGAACGCUGGCGGCAGGCCUAACACAUGCAAGUCGAGCGGUAGCACAGAGAGCUUGCUCUCGGGUGACGAGCGGCGGACGGGUGAGUAAUGUCUGGGAAACUGCCUGAUGGAGGGGGAUAACUACUGGAAACGGUAGCUAAUACCGCAUAAUGUCGCAAGACCAAAGUGGGGGACCUUCGGGCCUCAUGCCAUCAGAUGUGCCCAGAUGGGAUUAGCUAGUAGGUGGGGUAACGGCUCACCUAGGCGACGAUCCCUAGCUGGUCUGAGAGGAUGACCAGCCACACUGGAACUGAGACACGGUCCAGACUCCUACGGGAGGCAGCAGUGGGGAAUAUUGCACAAUGGGCGCAAGCCUGAUGCAGCCAUGCCGCGUGUGUGAAGAAGGCCUUCGGGUUGUAAAGCACUUUCAGCGGGGAGGAAGGCGGUGAGGUUAAUAACCUCACCGAUUGACGUUACCCGCAGAAGAAGCACCGGCUAACUCCGUGCCAGCAGCCGCGGUAAUACGGAGGGUGCAAGCGUUAAUCGGAAUUACUGGGCGUAAAGCGCACGCAGGCGGUCUGUCAAGUCGGAUGUGAAAUCCCCGGGCUCAACCUGGGAACUGCAUUCGAAACUGGCAGGCUAGAGUCUUGUAGAGGGGGGUAGAAUUCCAGGUGUAGCGGUGAAAUGCGUAGAGAUCUGGAGGAAUACCGGUGGCGAAGGCGGCCCCCUGGACAAAGACUGACGCUCAGGUGCGAAAGCGUGGGGAGCAAACAGGAUUAGAUACCCUGGUAGUCCACGCCGUAAACGAUGUCGAUUUGGAGGUUGUGCCCUUGAGGCGUGGCUUCCGGAGCUAACGCGUUAAAUCGACCGCCUGGGGAGUACGGCCGCAAGGUUAAAACUCAAAUGAAUUGACGGGGGCCCGCACAAGCGGUGGAGCAUGUGGUUUAAUUCGAUGCAACGCGAAGAACCUUACCUGGUCUUGACAUCCACAGAACUUUCCAGAGAUGGAUUGGUGCCUUCGGGAACUGUGAGACAGGUGCUGCAUGGCUGUCGUCAGCUCGUGUUGUGAAAUGUUGGGUUAAGUCCCGCAACGAGCGCAACCCUUAUCCUUUGUUGCCAGCGGUCCGGCCGGGAACUCAAAGGAGACUGCCAGUGAUAAACUGGAGGAAGGUGGGGAUGACGUCAAGUCAUCAUGGCCCUUACGACCAGGGCUACACACGUGCUACAAUGGCAUAUACAAAGAGAAGCGACCUCGCGAGAGCAAGCGGACCUCAUAAAGUAUGUCGUAGUCCGGAUUGGAGUCUGCAACUCGACUCCAUGAAGUCGGAAUCGCUAGUAAUCGUAGAUCAGAAUGCUACGGUGAAUACGUUCCCGGGCCUUGUACACACCGCCCGUCACACCAUGGGAGUGGGUUGCAAAAGAAGUAGGUAGCUUAACCUUCGGGAGGGCGCUUACCACUUUGUGAUUCAUGACUGG
RNAcentral lists this ribosomal RNA (1456 nucleotides) under uncultured organism. Its description in RNAcentral is "16S ribosomal RNA". It matches the Rfam family "Bacterial small subunit ribosomal RNA". The record is from RNAcentral.